GAUGAAGAACGCAGCGAAAUGCGAUAAGUAAUGUGAAUUGCAGAAUUCAGUGAAUCAUCGAAUCUUUGAACGCACAUUGCGCCCCCUGGUAUUCCGGGGGGCAUGCCUGUCCGAGCGUCAUUACAACCCUCAAGCUCAGCUUGGUGUUGGGCCCCGCCGCCCCGGCGGGCCCUAAAGUCAGUGGCGGUGCCGUCCGGCUCCGAGCGUAGUAAUUCUUCUCGCUCUGGAGGUCCGGUCGUGUGCUCGCCAGCAACCCCCAAUUUGUUUCAGGUUGACCUCGGAUCAGGUAGGGAUACCCGCUGAACUUAAGCAUAUCAAUAAGCGGAGGA
RNAcentral lists this unclassified non-coding RNA (329 nucleotides) under soil metagenome. Its description in RNAcentral is "partial contains 5.8S ribosomal RNA, internal transcribed spacer 2, and large subunit ribosomal RNA". The stretch from base 1 to 120 matches the Rfam family "5.8S ribosomal RNA", at positions 35 to 154 of the family's 154-position model. The record is from RNAcentral.